RNAcentral lists this ribosomal RNA (429 nucleotides) under Chloroflexota bacterium. RNAcentral describes it as "Chloroflexi bacterium partial 16S ribosomal RNA". It matches the Rfam family "Bacterial small subunit ribosomal RNA", at positions 355 to 776 of the family's 1533-position model. Lineage: Bacteria; Bacillati; Chloroflexota. The record is from RNAcentral.
UGGGGAAUAUUGCACAAUGGGCGCAAGCCUGAUGCAGCCAUGCCGCGUGUAUGAAGAAGGCCUUCGGGUUGUAAAGUACUUACAGCGGGGAGGAAGGGAGUAAAGUUAAUACCUUUGCUCAUUGACGUUACCCGCAGAAGAAGCACCGGCUAACUCCGUGCCAGCAGCCGCGGUAAUACGGAGGGUGCAAGCGUUAAUCGGAAUUACUGGGCGUAAAGCGCACGCAGGCGGUUUGUUAAGUCAGAUGUGAAAUCCCCGGGCUCAACCUGGGAACUGCAUCUGAUACUGGCAAGCUUGAGUCUCGUAGAGGGGGGUAGAAUUCCAGGUGUAGCGGUGAAAUGCGUAGAGAUCUGGAGGAAUACCGGUGGCGAAGGCGGCCCCCUGGACGAAGACUGACGCUCAGGUGCGAAAGCGUGGGGAGCAAACAGG